AUUAGAUACCCUGGGUAGUCCACGCAGUAAACGAUGAAUACUAAUUGUCCGGGCAGAAUGGUGCCUGGGUGAUACAGCGAAAGCGUUAAGUAUUCCACCUGGGGAGUACGCCGGCAACGGUGAAACUCAAAGGAAUUGACGGGGGCCCGCACAAGCGGAGGAACAUGUGGUUUAAUUCGAUGAUACGCGAGGAACCUUACCCGGGCUCAAACGACACAGGAAUACUUUUGAAAGGAGGUAGCCAGCAAUGGUCUGUGUCGAGGUGCUGCAUGGUUGUCGUCAGCUCGUGCCGUGAGGUGUCGGCUUAAGUGCCAUAACGAGCGCAACCCCUACCGCCAGUUGCCAGCAGGUAAAGCUGGGGACUCUGGCGGGACUGCCGGCGCAAGCUGCGAGGAAGGCGGGGAUGACGUCAAAUCAGCACGGCCCUUACGUCCGGGGCGACACACGUGUUACAAUGGCAGGUACAGCGGGAAGCCACCUGGCGACAGGGCGCGGAACCCGAAAACCUGUCUCAGUUCGGAUUGGAGUCUGCAACCCGACUCCAUGAAGCUGGAUUCGCUAGUAAUCGCGCAUCAGCCACGGCGCGGUGAAUACGUUCCCGGGCCUUGUACACACCGCCCGUCAAGCCAUGGAAGCCGGGAGUGCCUGAAGUGCGUGACCGCAAGGAGCGUCCUAAGGCAAUACCGGUGACUGGGGCUAAGUCGUAACAAGGUACC
This 716-nucleotide ribosomal RNA is filed under the name uncultured bacterium. Its description in RNAcentral is "bacterial SSU rRNA". It matches the Rfam family "Bacterial small subunit ribosomal RNA", at positions 777 to 1500 of the family's 1533-position model. The record is from RNAcentral.